CAGCACCUCCUCCAGAAGCUCCUGCAGGCGCUCCACUGACCGCUGCAGCUCUACGAGCGCCUGCUCCGUGUCAUCGUGAACCCUGACUGAAGAACGCUGCUCAGGCAGGGAAGGAGAAAACAAGCGCUUUCUGCAGAGGGAGACACAAAGACAAGACAUGACGUCCAAAACCAUUCCCAUCACGUGGACAAAACACAGGCACGAGGAAACAGCUGUGUGUGUGUAAGUGUGACACAGAAGGCAACAUGAGAAGGUGGAGCGUUAUGAAUGGACAGGAAUGUAGUUAGGAAUGUCCUCAGCCAGGCUGGAGCCUCUGUUACACACAAAGGGAGAGAGGAUGACACCUUAAACAGAAACCCAUUACACAGAACAAUGGACAGUCAGCAGUAGGGGUGAUGUGCUGUACACACACUGCGCUGAUGGUCACCUGUAGAAACAGCUGCCAUCUUUCCUGCCUUUUAAUGAGGUUUAUGGAAAUAAAUGAAACUGAAAACAUUUAAUUGCUCAAAAUUAGUCAAGUAUUGUUAUUGAUAGGCUGCUGGUGUCAUGUGUUCAGACAGAAAGCAAAGCAGAUUUUUGCCUCAAGCUGCUGAACUGUACAUUAGCCAAGUAGCUAACGAACUGACUGUAGAGUGUUUCUGUUUGUGUUCAGAACUUGUCUCUGUGUGUUUCUGAUGUAUAUCAAUAAGGCCCUGGGACAUGCUAAACAUUUUCAACUCUCAUGGAUGUGUCAGCUAGUCAACAUGUAUUUAUGUAAAACUCACUUGUAUGUCCAUGCA
This is a long non-coding RNA of Lates calcarifer (barramundi perch), 779 nucleotides long. RefSeq lists it as uncharacterized. The record is from RefSeq and is a predicted model, not a curated record. The transcript is spliced from 2 exons. NCBI's taxonomy places the organism in Eukaryota, Metazoa, Chordata, Actinopteri, Centropomidae.